UGCCUCGAGUUUUUCUCUUCUGACCUUUCUUUGUCCUUUGCCCCUAUUCUAAGAUUGAGGGUUGGUGGUUCUUUUCUCCGAGGAAGGAUCUGUCUUUCAUCACCGGCCUUCCUUCUUCCAUUCAUGAUUGGAACUCUUUUUUUUUGUUUCUUCUUCCUUAUCCUGGGGCUUUUCUUCUACCUGAGAGAGUUCGGAUACAAGUCCGAAUGAGAAUAAUCGGGAUGACGUCACCGACAGAGAAGACUUCCUCCAUCUGAAGGAUAUGUAAGUUUCUCCACAGAAAGAAUUAUUGAUGGAGCAAACUCUCUACGAUGCCGAACUUGGUUCGACACCCGUCAUAGAUAUAGCAUAAUGUAGUUUUUUAGUUUCUUACGUUUAUCUGACCUCAGAUUUUAACCAAUUCAUUUUGUUUUCUGCUUGCAGCUAUACAAUCUUCGAUGUGAGUUUCGACGGCUGAUAUCCGAUAGUUCGCCGCCAAGAAGAGGUCCAUGGUCGAUGCAGGGCCCUCUAGAGCUCCAAAGAAAAGUCAGGCCGACACUCAAUCGAUGGUAGUGAUCGAGAUCAACACUCUGUCGGUAGUCACCCCUGGGCCUAGCACUAAGCUGGUUAUAGCAUUGUUGGCUCCGAUAGUGCUUCCAUCAGUUGAAGCACCUCCAUCCGGUAGGAAACCGGAUAGAGACAAUGAUG
This 687-nucleotide long non-coding RNA is filed under the name Elaeis guineensis (African oil palm). RNAcentral's name for it is "long non-coding RNA (EGUI_LNC035328)". The record is from RNAcentral. Lineage: Eukaryota; Viridiplantae; Streptophyta; Magnoliopsida; Arecales; Arecaceae.